GCUUACUAUGCUCAUUGCACCAGGGAGGGACCUGGAGCUCAGAGCAGGACCACCAUGGGGACAGCAGGUGCUUAAACCUGGAGUUGAAAUUUUCUAACUGCCGAAUUGCCUGCAAGAAAAUGAAGAAAUAUCUAGCCUGGACAGUGAAAUGUUCCCACUGAUGCUCUAAGACCUUGUCAACUAGAAUCGAUUCUUGGAGCUCAAGGGUGGUAUACAUUUCUAAAUCCUGCCUGCAUGGACGUGUGUCCUUCAGGCACCAUUUUCUGAAGCUUGUCGAGACCCUCUUUUAUUUUCUUCCUUAAAAAACUCCAAAAAGGUGGUUGACGUGGAAAGACAUGGACUGUUAAAAAUUAGCUCCCAAGCUCUCUGGGUGCCACUGUUAACUGUGCAAGGCCUCCUGGAUGGAGGAGGAGGCCAAGCAAGGGCUCUGCCCUGCUCAUUCCUCACUGUGACAUUGACCAUAGACUUCAGGCCUUGUGAUCUCAUCCCAGUUCCAGGGAAUGCAGGCCUGGGGAAUCUCACCAGGGCCCCACUUAGACCAUCUCUGGUGACAGUGGGAGCUUCCGAUGGAUGAGCAACUGUGAGUCAGCAACUGCAAUGGGGCCGACAUUCCUAACCCUAACCCUAAGCCAGAACCAGGAAUGGGCAACUGAGAGUCAGCGACUGACAAUGGGGUUGACAUUCCUAACUCUAACUCUAACUCUAAUCUUC
RNAcentral lists this long non-coding RNA (711 nucleotides) under Homo sapiens (human). Its description in RNAcentral is "HSALNT0162580". The record is from RNAcentral. Lineage: Eukaryota; Metazoa; Chordata; Mammalia; Primates; Hominidae.